This is a long non-coding RNA of Homo sapiens (human), 2625 nucleotides long. Ensembl annotates it as PCBP1 antisense RNA 1. Its record names the gene PCBP1-AS1. The record is from Ensembl. NCBI's taxonomy places the organism in Eukaryota, Metazoa, Chordata, Mammalia, Primates, Hominidae.
GAACACAAAAUGGCGACACGUGGUUAGCAUUCGUCGCCAACGAGAAAUUGGGGUCGGCCCGAAAGCUCUAGAAUGCACCCCUCUUCCUCCCCGGGGCCUUCCACCUCCGCGAGUUUUAUGACUUAAAAAAGCCCACAGGCUGGUCUGAAGGUCGGAGGCCUAAUUUUAACGCGUUUUCCUCCCUUUAAUUUGAAACGGGAACGCGAAUGACUGUAAAAUAGGAAGACAAACAUAAAGAUGAAGUGCUUAAUUCAAGGUCACACAAUGUCGGGGAUGGACCUCCAGAUUUCCUUACUGACCUGCAUUAUCUUGUGGAUACCUGAGUGAAUUCCACACCACCCAUUUUAUAGAUGAAACCACUGAGACAUGGAGCAAUUGACUGAGUAGUCACUGCCCCACCCCUGCCUGGAGCCUCACACAUGACUCGCCUCCUCUCAGUGACCACAGGUUGGUUGAGGGGUUUAACAAGGCUAAGAAGGUGAGACGUGGUCUUGUAACACAGUGGUUAAGAAUGUGACUUUGGAGCCAGCCUGCUAGGGGCUGAAUUCUGACUCAGCCAUUUACUAACUGUGUGACCUUAGGGAGGAGGACCUGGUUGAUAGAAGAAUUUAUCUCGUAGUCUUAACAUCCACUGUAAUUCCAAACUUUGAGGACGAUAGAGAUCAGUGGGCUUUGACUGCCCAGCAUGCAGUCUCCAUUCUUAGGUGGGUUCCCAAGCCUGUAAAAUGUAAGCCUUAUGCUGCUGAGGGCCAUCUUGCCACCCUGAGGGAAACGCUGCCUGAGAAUGAAACAAGCAUAAGUAAAAGCUGAGCUGUGAGAUGGAGCAAGAUGAAGGCCACAUGACAUCUUUGGAGCACCUGGAUCUAACUGUGCCUUAAGCUAGUCUAACCCUGAACAUUUCAUCAUUUCAUUGACAUGAGCCCAGGUUUUCUUUUUUUUUGGAUGGAGUCUUGCUCUGUCGCCCAGGCUGGAGUGCAGUAGCUCAAUCUCGGCUCACUGCAAGCUCCACCUCCCGGGUUCACGCCAUUCUCCUGCCUUAGCCUCCCAAGUAGCUGGGACAACAGGCGCCCACCACCACUCCCAGCUAAUUUUUUGUAUUUUUAGUAGAGACGGGGUUUUACCAUGUUAGCCGGGAUGGUCUUGAUCUCCUGACCUCAUGAUCCGCCCGCCUCGGCCUCCCAAAGUGCUGGGAUUACAGGUGUGAGCCACUGCACCCAGCCCUCAGGUUUUCCCUUUUUUUACCCCUCCUUUUGAAAAUUUGAUGUGGAAUUUUGCCACCUGCAGCCAGAAGAGUUUUAACUAAUCAGUGCCAUAAAUUUUAUAUAGUUCUCCUUGCAAAAUGUGGAUCAGCCUUUCUCAGCAAAUCCUUUGUCAUAAAGUGCUGAAUUGUAAGUUUGUCAUGAGAAUCACAUGAGAUCAUGCAUGUGAAGAACCUGGCAUUAUCCUCCUCAUAGAAAAAAACCAGUAAAUAUUAACUACAGGAAGCAAGGAAGGAGUGGGGUGAGGGGAAGAAGAAGGGGUACUGAUUUAAAAGAACCCUGGAGUCCUAAGGAUAAUCUAGGAACCCUCAGACCCAAUCCGAUACCCCUAUUCUAAAUGCUCCUAGUGCCCUGUACCUUCCCCUCAUAAGCCUUCAUUAUCAUUGUAAUGAUAUGUUUAUGUAAUAUUUUGAUUAAUGUCUCUCCUUCACUGACCUAGCAGUUCUAGCAGGGCAGUGAUUUUGCUGUGUUGCAUCCCCAGCACCUAGUCUGGUAUGUGGCAUUCAGCAUAUGUUUAUUGAAUGAAUGGCCAUGUGGUUAUUCAGAUCCUCCUUGAUUAUUGGGGUUAGGAUUGUGGCAGAAGUGGCAAAAUCAGGGAGAGUAGUCCCUGUCCCCUCUGUAUCUUAUACACUGCCCACACUCCCAACACACAUACACAUACAGAGAAUUUUGUCUCAAUUAGAUAAUUAACUUCUGCUUGGUUGUAAACCAAACCACUGGUUCUUAAACUUUCAUUGGAUCAUUUUAUUGAAGAAUUAAAUAGUGUGGUUCUGGCCUAAUGUCUGGAAAGCCUUGCAGAGGAGUGGAUUAGGUCUUUGUGAUAAACAGGCAGCCUUCCCUGCUCCUGUGUCUUUAUAAAAUCUAUUUAACUGGAGUAGUCCACCCUCCCUCAGGCUCUUACAGGAAUAUGUUGGAGGCUGUAGGAAGGUGGGAAACCGAGAGGGAAAGGACUGGGCCGCUGGAGACUUCACUCAUUCCCUAGCAAGAAACAAAAGCAGUAAAAGGUGGCCCGAGGACAACCUGAAGCUCACUCCUUCAGCACUUUUGGCUGGAGGUCACUUGUUGGAGCCCCACUCAGAGCUCAGCACACCACCCCACCAGCAGCCUCCUCCUCCCAGCUGAGGCUGCAUUUCAUCCCUUCCCCCAGCCUGCUUUCCCUGAGAUAGGGGAGUGUUUCCCAGGGCCCAUGUGACUUCCACUGGCAAGUGACGAUUACCAAUGGUUUACUAGUCAGUGAAACUACCAAAGGCUUUUGUGCUGUAGUAAUCCUUUUCCUGUUUAAAACUCUGGGGAUUUUCUAAUGUUGCCAAUAGUUUUUCAAGUCAGCAAUUACUGUGUGGAUUAUGUAAUGGCUCGGUAUUAAAAA